RNAcentral lists this ribosomal RNA (1365 nucleotides) under uncultured bacterium. RNAcentral's name for it is "bacterial SSU rRNA". It matches the Rfam family "Bacterial small subunit ribosomal RNA", at positions 8 to 1366 of the family's 1533-position model. The record is from RNAcentral.
AGAGUUUGAUCCUGGCUCAGGAUGAACGCUAGCGACAGGCUUAACACAUGCAAGUCGAGGGGCAGCGGGGUGUAGCAAUACGCCGCCGGCGACCGGCGCACGGGUGAGUAACGCGUAUGCAACUUGCCUAUCAGAGGGGGAUAACCCGGCGAAAGUCGGACUAAUACCGCAUGAAGCAGGGAUCCCGCAUGGGAAUAUUUGCUAAAGAUUCAUCGCUGAUAGAUAGGCAUGCGUUCCAUUAGGCAGUUGGCGGGGUAACGGCCCACCAAACCGACGAUGCGUAGGGGUUCUGAGAGGAAGGUCCCCCACACUGGUACUGAGACACGGACCAGACUCCUACGGGAGGCAGCAGUGAGGAAUAUUGGUCAAUGGUCGGGAGACUGAACCAGCCAAGCCGCGUGAGGGAGGAAGGUACAGAGUAUCGUAAACCUCUUUUGUCAGGGAACAAAGACUGGGACGCGUCCCCGGAUGAGUGUACCUGAAGAAAAAGCAUCGGCUAACUCCGUGCCAGCAGCCGCGGUAAUACGGAGGAUGCGAGCGUUAUCCGGAUUUAUUGGGUUUAAAGGGUGCGCAGGCGGUCUGUUAAGUCAGCGGUCAAAGCCCGAGGCUCAACCCCGGCCCGCCGUUGAAACUGGCAGUCUCGAGUUGGAGAGAAGUAUGCGGAAUGCGCGGUGUAGCGGUGAAAUGCAUAGACAUCGCGCAGAACUCCGAUUGCGAAGGCAGCAUGCCGGCUCCACACUGACGCUGAGGCACGAAAGCGUGGGUAUCGAACAGGAUUAGAUACCCUGGUAGUCCACGCAGUAAACGAUGAAUGCAGGCUGUCCGGGGGGACUGACCCCUGGGUGGCGAAGCGAAAGCGAUAAGCAUUCCACCUGGGGAGUAUGCCGGCAACGGUGAAACUCAAAGGAAUUGACGGGGGCCCGCACAAGCGGAGGAACAUGUGGUUUAAUUCGAUGAUACGCGAGGAACCUUACCCGGGCUCAAACGGGGAGUGGCGCAGGCAGAGACGCCUGUUUCCCACGGGACACUCCCCGAGGUGCUGCAUGGUUGUCGUCAGCUCGUGCCGUGAGGUGUCGGCUUAAGUGCCAUAACGAGCGCAACCCCCGCGUGCAGUUGCUAACAGUCAACGCUGAGGACUCUGCACGGACUGCCGGCGCAAGCCGCGAGGAAGGCGGGGAUGACGUCAAAUCAGCACGGCCCUUACGUCCGGGGCGACACACGUGUUACAAUGGGUGGUACAGCGGGAAGCCAGGCGGCGACGCCGAGCGGAACCCGAAAUCCACUCUUAGUUCGGAUCGGAGUCUGCAACCCGACUCCGUGAAGCUGGAUUCGCUAGUAAUCGCGCAUCAGCCAUGGCGCGGUGAA